AAGCUGUAAUCAUUAUGAUAACACGGUUAAUUACCUAGAAAUAUAUAACUUAGAUGUAUUUAUUCGAUCGAUCCUUAUCAGCUUCUGAUUAGUUUAUUCAUCCUUUUCCUAAUAGUACAAUUCCUAUUAUCAGUUCGCGGUAAGAGGCUGCAUUUAUUGAUUUCCAAUCUCAAUAAAAGCAGCCAACCGUUCUGAGACUGACAUUCAGUUCAUCUUUGAUUCUUCACGACCAAACCAUGAAGUCCUUCGUAGCUGUUGUUUUCCUAGUAUUUGGAGUUCUGCUCCACCAGUCCCAGGGUGUUGCCUACACCGACGAAGAGCACCUCAACUUCCGCCAGAAAUGUUCGAAAAUCCUUCAAAUCUCCCCCGAUACGAGACAGGAAGUAACUAAAAAGAACUUCUUGAACGACAAUCAGGAGAUGAACUGCAUGAUUCGGUGCGUCGGUAUCCUGUCUGGAUUCUACGAUGACGAAACCGGUACCAACUGGGAUCAGGUAGCCAGCGAGUUGGAAAACAAGCCUGAGAACUACGAUGAGCAUCGACAGGCUACGGCUGCUUGCAUCGAAGCUAUACCAAAGGAAGAAUAUGCAUCAGACGUUUGUAAGAAAGCAUACGUGAACUUCCGCUGUCAUAGCAAAUCUAUCAGAGCAAUUAGAGCUAGAGCUCUGGUCAACCAAGAAUAAAGAUGUUUUUCGUGGUGGAAUCAACAAGUAAGACAUUUCAAAUUUAACCCAUUAACGCAUAAGGUUUUUUACAAUUGAGAAAUGUCAAUGAAUUUUGGCUCGUGAAAUAAGGUAAAUAAA
This is a long non-coding RNA of Ochlerotatus camptorhynchus, 803 nucleotides long. RefSeq lists it as uncharacterized. NCBI's taxonomy places the organism in Eukaryota, Metazoa, Arthropoda, Insecta, Diptera, Culicidae. The record is from RefSeq and is a predicted model, not a curated record. The transcript has 2 exons.